GUUAAAUCGUUGAAUAAGAGGAGUACAUUCAAGUGAUGCAUAACAGGGAGUUAAGGACAGUGAGACCUUAGCAUGAUAGCUUGUCUGGAAUGGACUUAUGAGAGAUGAUCCGAAUGAAGUAGGGUCGUACGGAUUUCCACCGUUAAAAGGAUAGAGUAUCGGGUGUUACACCCCGUACUUGAAUCAAGAGGGGAUAUAGGUAUAUCCCAAUAGAGGUGGCACCGCGGUCAGCAUCGUCCUCUAU
RNAcentral lists this non-coding RNA (244 nucleotides) under Rossellomorea vietnamensis. Its description in RNAcentral is "Bacillus vietnamensis T-box sequence". It matches the Rfam family "T-box leader". Rfam says of the family: Uncharged tRNA acts as the effector for transcription antitermination of genes in the T-box leader family. The record is from RNAcentral. Lineage: Bacteria; Bacillati; Bacillota; Bacilli; Caryophanales; Bacillaceae.